AAUUAUCUAUUAUCAUUUGUAACAAUUGGAGCUCUUAUGUGCUCUAAAUGUUGUCAAUUGGGACCAAUAGAGUAACCAGUGAACUCUGAAGAGAUUAAUUAUUAAUAAAGAGACAGGCCAAUAUUAAUAAGUACAAGAGAGGACAUUUUGGUAACAUUAAUAAUUGGUCAAUUGGUGCUGGAAGAUAAAAUAUCAAUUGAGAUAUUUUAUGAUACUAAUUAAUAUUAUAUAUUAUAUAUAUUAUAUAGUAUAUG
Molecule: long non-coding RNA, 254 nt
Filed under: Lathyrus oleraceus (garden pea)
Lineage: Eukaryota; Viridiplantae; Streptophyta; Magnoliopsida; Fabales; Fabaceae
Description: Pisum sativum (pea) long non-coding RNA (PSAT_LNC041406)
Source: RNAcentral